AGUAGUUCAAUUGGUAGAGCACCGGUCUCCAAAACCGGGGGUUGGGGGUUCGAGUCCCUCCUGG
This 64-nucleotide transfer RNA is filed under the name Isoalcanivorax indicus. It matches the Rfam family "tRNA", at positions 6 to 65 of the family's 71-position model. Rfam says of the family: Transfer RNA (tRNA) molecules are approximately 80 nucleotides in length. The record is from RNAcentral. RNAcentral also lists the same sequence under 4 other names. Lineage: Bacteria; Pseudomonadati; Pseudomonadota; Gammaproteobacteria; Oceanospirillales; Alcanivoracaceae.